AUACUUACCUGGCAGGGAAGAUACCAUGAUCACAAAAGUAGUUUUCCCAGGGUGUGGCUUAUCCAUUUACACUCUGGAUGUACUGACCCCUGUGAUUUCCUUAGAGGUGGGAAACUUGCCUGUAUUAUUUGUGGUAGUGGGGAGGGGAGGGGUGCAUUCACGCUCUGCCCUG
This is a small nuclear RNA of Sorex fumeus (smoky shrew), 172 nucleotides long. RefSeq annotates it as U1 spliceosomal RNA. Lineage: Eukaryota; Metazoa; Chordata; Mammalia; Eulipotyphla; Soricidae. The transcript has a single exon. The record is from RefSeq and is a predicted model, not a curated record.